This 298-nucleotide long non-coding RNA is filed under the name Vombatus ursinus (common wombat). RNAcentral describes it as "lncRNA (ENSVURG00010024298.1)". The record is from RNAcentral. Lineage: Eukaryota; Metazoa; Chordata; Mammalia; Diprotodontia; Vombatidae.
ACACUUCAGUGGAAACAAAAGUGCCAUUGCCCUCUCAGCCACCGAUCUGCUUCAAAGAAUGGAAACCACAGUAUUAGAAGGUGCAUUCAAGUCUAACAAUGGAGUACAAGCACCAGACAAUUUUGUAGUUACUGACACACGAGUUGUUCCAGACAACAAAUGCUCUGAGAAGAUUUUCACACUGAAGGCUGGAGAAGAUGCCAUGGCCAUCCAUUGUACUGAAGUCGUCAGAGAAAGCACCACAGGUCAAAGUGCUGUGGCUUUUCUCUCUUAUUCUACCCUGGGGGACAUCAUCAAU